RNAcentral lists this ribosomal RNA (374 nucleotides) under uncultured bacterium. Its description in RNAcentral is "partial 16S ribosomal RNA". It matches the Rfam family "Bacterial small subunit ribosomal RNA", at positions 338 to 729 of the family's 1533-position model. The record is from RNAcentral.
CCUACGGGAGGCAGCAGUAGGGAAUAUUGCUCAAUGGGGGAAACCCUGAAGCAGCAACGCCGCGUGGAGGUUGAUGGUUUUAGGAUUGUAAACUCCUUUUGUUAGAGAAGAUUAUGACGGUAUCUUACGAAUAAGCACCGGCUAACCCAGUGCCAGCAGCCGCGGUAAUACGGAGGGUCCAAGCGUUACUCGGAAUCACUGGGCGUAAGGAGUGCGUAGGCGGGGUAAUAAGUCAGAUGUGAAAUCCUGUAGCUUAAGUACAGAACUGCAUUUGAAACUGUUACUCUGGAGUGUGGGUGCGGUAGGUGGAAUGCUUGGUGUAGGGGUGAAAUCCGUAGAGAUCAAGAAGAAUACUGAUUGCGAAGGCGACCUGC